GACGAACGCUGGCGGCGUGCUUAACACAUGCAAGUCGAACGGAAAGGCCCUGCUUUUGUGGGGUGCUCGAGUGGCGAACGGGUGAGUAACAAGUGAGUAACCUGCCCUUGACUUUGGGAUAACUUCAGGAAACUGGGGCUAAUACCGGAUAGGAGCUCCUGCUGCAUGGUGGGGGUUGGAAAGUUUCGGCGGUUGGGGAUGGACUCGCGGCUUAUCAGCUUGUUGGUGGGGUAGUGGCUUACCAAGGCUUUGACGGGUAGCCGGCCUGAGAGGGUGACCGGCCACAUUGGGACUGAGAUACGGCCAAGACUCCUACGGGAGGCAGCAGUGGGGAAUAUUGCACAAUGGGCGGAAGCCUGAUGCAGCAACGCCGCGUGCGGGAUGACGGCCUUCGGGUUGUAAACCGCUUUCGCCUGUGACGAAGCGUGAGUGACGGUAAUGGGUAAAGAAGCACCGGCUAACUACGUG
This 468-nucleotide ribosomal RNA is filed under the name uncultured bacterium. RNAcentral's name for it is "partial 16S ribosomal RNA". It matches the Rfam family "Bacterial small subunit ribosomal RNA", at positions 28 to 507 of the family's 1533-position model. The record is from RNAcentral.